AGAAAAUGAGCUCUCCUGGGAGAUGGAGGUGCAAAACGCUGCUGCUUCUGACAGCAGGGAGAAGUGGCACCUUCAGCUCUGGAAUACAACUGCUGCCAAACUCUCCAUAGAACGGUUCAAGACACAGCAGGUCAUGCAGGCUCAGGAGCAGGAAUGUCUCUGAUGGCUGACAAAUGGGGCCAGCAUCUGACUCUUCAGGGGAACUAAAAAAGCCUUGAGACAUCUAUUCAACUGAUUGUGCCAUGCUAUAUAAAAAUCAAGAUAUUCCUUCCUGAUACACUGUCACCUUGUUCCCUGACUCAGCCCCACAUCUCCAUCACACUUCUCUCUUGAUACAGCAGGCAAAGCAUUUUUAAGGUCCAGAACAACUCCAAGUGUCACUGAAGUCAUCCUGCAUGCCCUACACCCACCAUGCAAUGACUCCAGCCAAAACAGAUGCGUAUACUCAGCUCUGCUGGGCCCUGCUCAGCUCACCAGGGAUAGAACACACUGCUGAGGUCAACCUGCAAUUAUUUAAGGUGAAACCCUGCUCCUUUUUGGUAUAAUAACCAUCACAGCAGUCUGUGCAGCUGCCAUUAUUCC
RNAcentral lists this long non-coding RNA (582 nucleotides) under Gallus gallus (chicken). Its description in RNAcentral is "long non-coding RNA NONGGAT004685". The record is from RNAcentral. Lineage: Eukaryota; Metazoa; Chordata; Aves; Galliformes; Phasianidae.